This 72-nucleotide transfer RNA is filed under the name Candidatus Pacearchaeota archaeon. Its description in RNAcentral is "tRNA-Ala". It matches the Rfam family "tRNA". From Rfam's summary of the family: Transfer RNA (tRNA) molecules are approximately 80 nucleotides in length. The record is from RNAcentral. Lineage: Archaea; Nanobdellati.
GGGCCCAUAGUUCAAUGGUUAGAACAUGCCGUUCGCGUCGGCAGGAUUCGGGUUCGAUUCCCGAUGGGUCCA